Molecule: ribosomal RNA, 235 nt
Filed under: uncultured Staphylococcus sp.
Lineage: Bacteria; Bacillati; Bacillota; Bacilli; Caryophanales; Staphylococcaceae
Description: partial 16S ribosomal RNA
Rfam family: Bacterial small subunit ribosomal RNA
Source: RNAcentral
GGUGAGUAACACGUGGAUAACCUACCUAUAAGACUGGGAUAACUUCGGGAAACCGGAGCUAAUACCGGAUGAUAUUUUGAACCGCAUGGUUACAAAGUGAAAGACGGUCUUGCCGUCACUUAUAGAUGGAUCCGCGCUGCAUUAGCUAGUUGGUAAGGUAACGGCUUACCAAGGCAACGAUGCAUAGCCGACCUGAGAGGGUGAUCGGCCACACUGGAACUGAGACACGGUCCAG